Molecule: small nuclear RNA, 117 nt
Filed under: Laticauda laticaudata (blue-ringed sea krait)
Lineage: Eukaryota; Metazoa; Chordata; Lepidosauria; Squamata; Elapidae
Description: U5 spliceosomal RNA (ENSLLTG00000010948.1)
Rfam family: U5 spliceosomal RNA
About the family: U5 RNA is a component of both types of known spliceosome. The precise function of this molecule is unknown, though it is known that the 5' loop is required for splice site selection and p220 binding, and that both the 3' stem-loop and the Sm site are important for Sm protein binding and cap methylation.
Source: Rfam by way of RNAcentral
AUAUUCUGGUUUCUCAUCAGAUCAUAUAAAUCUUUCGCCUUUUACUAAAGAUUUUCAUGGAGAAGAACAUGCAUGAGUUUUGCAUGGAUGUGUUUUAUCAGUGGUUGGAUAACAGAA